Molecule: ribosomal RNA, 482 nt
Filed under: uncultured Variovorax sp.
Lineage: Bacteria; Pseudomonadati; Pseudomonadota; Betaproteobacteria; Burkholderiales; Comamonadaceae
Description: bacterial SSU rRNA
Rfam family: Bacterial small subunit ribosomal RNA
Source: RNAcentral
AUUGAACGCUGGCGGCAUGCCUUACACAUGCAAGUCGAACGGCAGCGCGGGAGCAAUCCUGGCGGCGAGUGGCGAACGGGUGAGUAAUACAUCGGAACGUGCCCAAUCGUGGGGGAUAACGCAGCGAAAGCUGUGCUAAUACCGCAUACGAUCUACGGAUGAAAGCAGGGGAUCGCAAGACCUUGCGCGAAUGGAGCGGCCGAUGGCAGAUUAGGUAGUUGGUGAGGUAAAGGCUCACCAAGCCUUCGAUCUGUAGCUGGUCUGAGAGGACGACCAGCCACACUGGGACUGAGACACGGCCCAGACUCCUACGGGAGGCAGCAGUGGGGAAUUUUGGACAAUGGGCGCAAGCCUGAUCCAGCCAUGCCGCGUGCAGGAUGAAGGCCUUCGGGUUGUAAACUGCUUUUGUACGGAACGAAACGGCCUUUUCUAAUAAAGAGGGCUAAUGACGGUACCGUAAGAAUAAGCACCGGCUAACUACG